RNAcentral lists this ribosomal RNA (268 nucleotides) under uncultured bacterium. RNAcentral's name for it is "partial 16S ribosomal RNA". It matches the Rfam family "Bacterial small subunit ribosomal RNA", at positions 57 to 305 of the family's 1533-position model. The record is from RNAcentral.
GCAAGUCGUACGAGAACGCUCUAGCUUGCUAGAGCAAGUAAAGUGGCGCACGGGUGAGUAACGCGUGGGUAAUCUACCCUUGAAUCCGGAAUAACUCGCCGAAAGGCGUGCUAAUACCAGAUAAAAUCAUUUCAACUUUGGUUUAAAUGAUCAAAGGUGGCCUCUACAUGUAAGCUACCGUUUAAGGAUGAACCCGCGUACCAUUAGCUUGUUGGUGGGGUAAUGGCCUACCAAGGCGACGAUGGUUAGCUGGUCUGAGAGGAUGAUC